UAGAACUAUAGUUAAUUUCUCUUCUUCGAUAUAGAGGAAGGGCAGCGGCGAGCUAGAGAUAUCUUUCUUCCGCGAUCAUCCGGAGCCCCGCCGGCAACGGAGGAGGCGGCGAUUGCGGCGGAGUGCGGUCGUGGCCGUCGACCACGUCGGUGUCGUCGUCGGGGAGGAGGAACUAAAAAGUGAAACGCCAACUACUCCGCCGGCCCCAAGGUCGACAACCUCUACCACUGGGUCUCCACCGUCAUGGGCCCUCGAGGUUAUAUUCACAAUACCACUGUGAUGUUGAUUGUGCUGGAAAACUAAAUCUGAACAUCUUGAAGAGCAGUUGGAGUCCGGGUCCAACAAUUUCAAAGGAUGAGUUUGAACUGUGCAAGGAGCACAGGGAACUGGAGGCCAUCUUUCAGGGCUAAGGGCAAAGAAGGUUGCUAGACAUUCCACAUAGUUAAGCAGUUGAUGGUGGAGGAAAGAGAAAGUUCUAAUCUAAGCUCUAAGGAAGAAGAAAAAAUAACUAUAAGGAAGAGAAAAUAACUAUCUUCAAGUGCUUUACUCUAAGGAUGAAGGAGAAACAAAGGGAAAGCAACUUUUGUAAGUUUUGAACUCUGGAAUUUAUAUAAGCUGAUAUGGGGAAGAAGUUGGUGAUGGUGCUAGUGCUGCUUAAACAGGAGGGAGAUGGAGAUGUGGGUUGAUGGUGGGGCGGAGCCACUUGGGAAACGAUACUGUCCAAAGGACUAAAGGAUGAAGGAGGGAGGAAUAUGGAUGACUCAGACCUUUGUGAGCCACAAGGAGUGGGGACCAAAAAACAAGAAGAUAGUAUGUAGGAAUGGAGAGAAUCAGCCUGUUCCUCUUAGGAGGGAAGGAAUCUUUCUGACUGGAAGUUAUUGCAUCUGAUAUGGAUGUUUACUUCUUCCCCUUCAUAUUUCUUUAGUGGCACUCUUUGUUCCAUUGUGUAAUCUUCAUCAAUACUCAACCUUUUAAAUUUAUCAUUCUUUUCUGUAUAUUAUGCAGUGUUCCAUAUAUGAGAUAUUCAGUGUAUGAAUGAAAUCCAGAUUGCAAAAGCUAUAGAACAAGGUUGCCCUUAAAAAUUAGCUUAUCUGAUUAGGAUCUUCUAAGCUAAAUGGAAUUCUUAGACGCCAAUAGUUACCAUUAUAAAUUUCUGUUUGUUCUUUGCUUCCCGCCUUGACAGGUGACAAACAUUUGUAGCUUACGAUAGUCGGCCACAUUGGUCUUAAUAAAUUUUGAUUCUGACAUGGAAUAAGAAUAUUAAGCAUGCCACUUGCUAAAAAGAGAGCCAGUCAAGGGAUUUGCAUAAAAUCUAGCUGUGAUAUUCCUUUUUAGAGAAUUUAGAGAAAGAUCUAUGCCUGCUGCUGAAUCUGAUCUCUUAUCUGUCCCCCAGUUUUGUGGAAAUAGGGACAGGAAAUUUUUGGGCCUGCAGUCCUUUGUUCACUUGAAUCAUCUUUUCAAUCUCAAAAAGAGAAAUGCUACCGUGGAUUCUGCUCAGUCAGUCGUCAAUUCCUUGUGCUGAUGUUCUCAAAAAUUGAAUUGGAGAGUUCCCAUUCUCUCCAACUCGUACCUGAACGAAAGAGGGUCCGUUGUUCGAUAAUGACCGUCCACGAUUGGUGUGAUGGCCAUUAUCAGAUAACCCCAUCUUAUAUAUGUGAUAGUGUGCUGGUGGGGCUCACCUAGUCAUGGCUGUCAUGCCAAUCAUGGAUGAGUGUGAUGGGGGAACCGGCCCUCUCCAAUUUACAUAUGAACUAACUCUGAAUUGGGUAAUGCCAACAUUAAUGCUAUUCAUUGAGGGAUCAGCACAGUAUACUAGCACUUUGAUAUUAAAGAACACUGAUAAUUCUCACUCUUCCAAGAAACACUAACUUGUUUUUUCUUCUCAGGAUGAGCUGUUAGUUUAAACUUGUCGGCACCUUUCUCUCCAUAAGAAGAGGUAUGAGGUUCCAAAUAACCACCAUAUUUCAUAGAGAAAAACAUGUUUCUAACAUUUGUGGGUAUGCUGUACUCCAUUUAUGGUGAUGAGAAAAUAUAGCUUAGGUGUGUGUAUAUUGUGCUUCAUUUAAAUGAUGAUAUGCUUCCAUAAUUUCAUCCACCAGAAGAGCGGAACGAGACAAAAUUUCUAUUCUGCUCUCUAUCAAAAUAAGGCUUACAUGCUGGCUUUUGACUAUAGGAGAUUUCACUGGCAAGCUUAUCAUUUCUUCUUCACAAAUUUGUUUACUUAUUUGUUUCUGACUGAUACUAAUCCGAAUUGGAUAUUAAUAGCAUAGAUAUAGAAUGGGCAAUGUAAACUUUGUUGCAGAAUAUUAUUCCAUUUUAUGUUCUAUCAACACAAAGUAUACAAGCCUUCCAUGUUUAUUUUUUUGUUGGGAGUAAAUGAUUGUACAAAAAGUAUACAACACUGUCCAGGUAAGCAUUAUUGAAAUGAUGUAUUUGACUAAUAAGAGGGAGGCAAAAAAACUUCGGUCAUGGAUGAGGACUAACAAAAAGUUGUGAAGACAAACCUUCUCUCUAUUUGACUGUGGAUGGUCAUUAGUGUACCAAAGGAUUCUAUAUAUUUAUCAACAAGAACUGGUUUACGCAAUGAAAAGCCGAGCCCAUGGAUGCGAAAUGGAUAUCUUGGAAUCUUUGAAAUGACAUAUCAACAACUUGGUCCUGGGAGAAUCUUAACCUAUAGGAAUACGUAGGAUCUGCCCUUCUACAAGUUGAUGUCCCAUUCUCUCUCUCAAAGAAAAAAGAAAGGGAGAAAAAAAGAAACAAUUGAUGGCUCCUCUUGCAUAUACGCACUGCUAAAAGUCCUUGAGAGUAGUCCGCAGAAGUUGGAUCUGAAAGAGGCUAGCUGAGAAGGACUCCUGUUGAAGAAUCUUUCAGGAACUUGAGGACUAGCAGAAAACAUAUGCUUCAACAGAUUUCGUAUAUUGAUUGUUGCCUAUCAAUUUGUAAAUUUCCGUGAUGCCAUUACGUGGUAUAGAUUUUUAUUGACCGUCAGGUACAUUGUUCACAAGAUGCCUCAUCCAAGUUCAAUAUUACAGGAAUUUUAUAGAAUUUUAUAUUCUUUUCUUUUUA
Phoenix dactylifera (date palm) is the source of this 3066-nucleotide long non-coding RNA. RefSeq lists it as uncharacterized. Lineage: Eukaryota; Viridiplantae; Streptophyta; Magnoliopsida; Arecales; Arecaceae. The record is from RefSeq and is a predicted model, not a curated record.